AUGUCGGAGAUGCUGCUGCUGCACGGGCUGACGGGGAAGAACAAGCAGGUGUGGAAGGAGGGAAAGAUCCGCGGCACGUCGGUGCUGGUCAAGAGCGGCAUGCUCAACCUCGGCGACUUCAACUCAUCCGUCCUCGACGGCGUCCACAAGAUCCUCGACGGCCAAGGACGAUGGCGUCUCCUUCCAUCUCGUCAGCGCCACCACACCCAACCCCCGGAGAUGAAAUCAACGAUGGCAGGGGAGUCAGUUUUUCCGGGUCAUGUUUGA
This 267-nucleotide ribosomal RNA is filed under the name Triticum aestivum (bread wheat). Its description in RNAcentral is "partial small subunit ribosomal RNA". The record is from RNAcentral. Lineage: Eukaryota; Viridiplantae; Streptophyta; Magnoliopsida; Poales; Poaceae.